GGCUGCUCGGAGGCCGUUGAUCUGAUGACCAGCUGUAUCAUUACUGCUGUAGCAAUCCUCAUAAUGCUGCUGUUCCUCCUCCUAUGCUACCACAGGAAUAAGUGGAAGGGGAAGAUGGUGAAAAAACAGCGUGCCAGCUGGAGCGCACAAGUCACGGCCACCUUGCAGGUGGUGGAAGAACCCCAAGGACAGAAGCAGGAAGAGGGAAGUAAAGAGUGGUCCCUCAGCCAGCCGGGGAGCUGCACCCACACGCCGCAGGCAGCCAGGGAAGAGCCCUGAGGAGCUGGGAAGCUGCCGUUGGCCAAAGCAAGGCAUCCAUAAACUCUGCCUCUACCUUAGGACGAUGGUUUUUGGGAAAAAUCUUGCCAAAAUGUUGCCACGCAGAUGUCCAAGCAAUAGCUCCAGGUGACAAAUGACACUCCCCCCACCCCACUUUCCCUGCCCUCUAUUCAUAAAACCCAGGCUGAGAGACAAUACCAGCCAUUGCUCUUGCUGAUGCUGAUCCAGUUGUCCCAGCUGGAAUGUACUGAUACUAUUAAUUAGCGUAGACAACUGGAGAAGAGCAGACUAAUUCCCAGCUUUAGCUGCUAGCCUGGCCAGUGUUUGUUCCAGUAAAAAAGAUACGCAUCCUGUGCUGCCCAAGCACUGCCAAGGUCUGCUGCUGCCAGAGCUGCCCUGCCCGGGCUUUUGCUUCCGAAGCUUUAAGCUGACCGCAUCUUGCUGUCUGUAGAGCUCUGCCGGACUCUGCCCAUGCGAGGAUUUCAGGGUCACCACCCAUGUGAGGUGCCGCCUUCUGCGCCGCUUCCUCCUCCUGCCUCUGUAAGUCCCUUUUUAAGGUGCAGCGAGUCAGGCUGGUGGUUCUCAGGGGUGGCAGCUCCGCUCAGCUCUGCGAUCGCACCUUCCCCUCCAGCUUGCCUUCCCUCGAUUUUGCAAGGCAAACGUCCCCAUGUCACACCAAAUCCUCAGAAAACUCAGCCCAAGCCCUUGUCCGUCUGUCCUACGCCUGCUCCUGUCCUUCCUUGGCUGCUGCCAGCUCCUCCGGGCACACCUGUGACCCUGUGCUCCCCACCUUGGAAAAGCUGCCUUGCCUUUGGGAGGGAGGACCAGGAAAGGCAGCUCCAUCAGCAUCCCUAAGGACCUUCAGGGUGGGAUUUUUUUUUAAUGUAUUUUAAAGCAUCACAGAAUCACAGAAUCACUAAGGUUGGAAAAGACCUGUAAGAUCAUCAAGUCCAACCAAUAAAAAAAAAAAAACCCCAAAAAAAACCCCACAACACACAACAACAACAAGCCACAACACACCAAAAACCAACCCACCCAACACCAUGCAGCUCCAUGCCCAUCAAGCUACAUCCCACAAUGCCACAUCCACACGCUCCUUGAAUACCUCCAGGGAGGGUGACUCCACCACCUCCCUGGGCAGCCUAUUCCAAUGUUUCACUACUCUCUCAGUAAAGAACUUUUUCCUAAUAUCCAGCCUGAACCUCCCCUGGCGCAACUUGAGGCCAUUUCCUCUUGUCCUGUCACUAGUCACUUGGGAGAAGAGACCAACACCCACCUCACCACAACCCCCUUUCAGGCAGUUGUAGAGAGCGAUGAGGUCUCCCCUCAGCCUCCUCUUCUCCAGACUGAACAACCCCAGUUCCCUCAGCCGCUCCUCAUCAGGCUGUGCUCCAGACCCCUCACCAGCUCCGUCGCCCUUCUUUGGACGCGCUCCAGCACCUCGAUGUCUUUCUUGUAGUGAGGGGCCCAGAACUAGAUUGGCCUGAGCUGAUUUCCCUUCCAUGGGACUCUUAACCGACCUUGCAUUCAUGCCAUGGCCUUCAGCAGUUUCCUUUGCAGGUUGUAGCAUUUUAGGUGAAGUUGGAGUAAGUUCUACCUGGUCCUGGUUUUUUGUCCCCCUUGGACAGGGUGUCAGCUCUAAAACAUGUCCAUCCAUAAAAAAAAAAAAGAAAAAAACCCCUUAUGUUGCUUUUUCCUUCACUUUGUUAUAACAGCUCUAAUAAAUGUAUUUCACA
Molecule: long non-coding RNA, 2015 nt
Organism: Gavia stellata (red-throated loon)
Lineage: Eukaryota; Metazoa; Chordata; Aves; Gaviiformes; Gaviidae
Exons: 3
Source: RefSeq, a predicted model, not a curated record